UGCGAUAACAGAACAGAAACUCAGUCUCUUGGAAGAAGACGACGGUCAGCUUUCGAGGUUAAUCUCACUACAUUUGAAGUUCAGGCUGGUGACGUUGUGAGUGACGUAAAGAUGGAGAGCACAUUGUUCGUUGUUAGCAGUCCGAAGACAGCCGCGGAAGCUAAGAAACUGUCGGAAACCAAUGAAGAAAACAUCUCACCCUUCCUACACUCCGGAACGGCCGUGUGUCUCAGCACUACUGUGGUAAUCUGGUCCGCUGCUGUCCUUGGAAUAAUCCAGAUUGUUCUGCUCGUGUCCUGCACGUUUCUCGUGUUUAUCAAUAGGCGACAACGUCACAAUAGACCUUGUCAUUGUGGCAGUCGAGCUUCUAUCUCCAGCAAGACUAAGCUCUUCACGUCAUAGACAAACUGUGAUGCCGAAUGACAACAACAUGAAGCGUCUUUCUUUUCUUGUUUUUUUUCUUGGUUCUUUCGAAACCAACUUGUUUACCAGUUUACACUUUAACCCAAUCAUAUUGCAACAUACAGCCAGCCCUACAUUUAAUGGUUUACCCAGUCAUAUUGUUACAUACAACCUUAAGUUCAAUGGUUUACUCAAUCAUAUUGCAACAUACAGCCAGCCCUACAUUUAAUGGUUUACCCAGUCAUAUUGUUACAUACAACCUUAAGUUCAAUGGUUUACUCAAUCAUAUUGCAACAUACAGCCAGCCCUACAUUUAAUGGUUUACCCAAUCAUAUUGUUACACACAGCCUUACGUCUAAUACAUACAACUUUAUGUCUAAUGGUUUACCCAAUCAUAUUGUUACAUACAACCUUACGUCUAAUGGUUUACCCAAUCAUAUUGUUACAUACAACCUUACGUCUAAUGAUUUACGCAAUCAUAUUGUUACAUACAACCUUACGUCUAAUGUUUUACCCAAUCACAUUGUUACAUACAACCUUACGUUUAAUGGUUUACCCAGUCAUAGUGUUACAUACAACCUUACGUCUAAUGGUUUACCCAAUCAUAUUGUUACAUACAACCUUACGUUUUAUGGUUUACCCAAUCAUAGUGUUACAUACAACCUUACGUCUAAUGGUUUAUGUAAUCAUAUUGUUACAUACAGCCUUACGUCUAAUACAUACAACUUUAUGUCUAAUGGUUUACCCAAUCAUAUUGUUACAUAAAAUCUUACGUCUAAUGGUUUACGCAAUCAUAUUGUUACAUACAACCUUACGUCUAAUGGUUUACGCAAUCAUAUUGUUACAUACAACCUUACGUCUAAUGGUUUACCCAAUCAUAUUCUUACAUACAACCUUACGUCUAAUGGUUUACCUAAUCAUAUUGUUACAUAUAAUCUUACGUCUAAUGGUUUACCAAAUCAUAUUCUUACAUACAACCUGACAUCUAAUGGUUUACCCAAUCAUAUUGUUACACACAGCCUUACGUCUAAUACAUACAACUUUAUGUCUAAUUGUUUACCCAAUCAUAUUGUUACAUACAAUCUUACGUCUAAUGGUUUACCCAAUCAUAUUGUUACAUACAACCUUACGUCUAAUGGUUUACCCAAUCAUAUUGUUACAUACAACCUUACGUCUAAUGGUUUACCCAAUCAUAUUGUUGCAUAUAGCCUUACGUCUAAUGGUUUACCCAAUCAUAUUCUUACAUACAACUAUACGUCUAAUGGUUUACCCAAUCAUAUUGUUACAUACAAUCUUACGUCUAAUGGUUUACCCAAUCAUAUUGUUACAUACAACCUUACGUCUAAUGGUUUACCCAAUCACAUUCUUACAUACAACUAUACGUCUAAUGGUUUACCUAAUCAUAUUGCUACAUACAACCUUACGUCUAAUACAUACAACUUUAUGUCUAAUGAUUUACCCAGUCAUAUUGUUACAUACGGCCUAAUGGUUUACCCAGUCAUAUUGUUACAUACACCUUUUUGACUUUAUAGGCUUUAUUUUCCUUGAAUGUUUUGUUAUUGUUAUUCAUAUACGGAUUAAACGUGCUGCUCUUUGCAUGUUCAACAAUAUUGUUUCUUAAAUGUUUUCACCAAUGGAAAAGAAUGGAGAGUUUCCAGUAAACACCCUGUGUACAAUGUUUGUUUUUAUAUAGUAACUAGUUUUGAUAUAGCCUCAAUAAUAAGUGGAAUUUUUACGUACAUUUCGUGUAGACUAGGAAAUCUAAUCGAAUAUUUUUGAGAAACAAUUUUGUGUGUUAAAAAACGUUUAUUAUGAACAAAAUAAUUACAAAAUGAGUAUUCAAAUAAAACUGACCAUAAUUUCCGUGUCAUAUAAUACCGUUAUUCUAACGCAAUAACCUAUAUUUGUUACACUAACAUAGAACUUUGGAAAUAAUAUGUUAGCAAAAAUUUUGUUUUUAAAGAUGAUCAAUGUGACAAUAGACUGUUGAGUGCCUCAUUAAAAUGUUUAUGUAUUUCAAUCGUAUACUUAUCAUACACUGUUGGUGUUUUCGUAUAUAUCACAUCUUCAUCAGUUAGUUAUCGGGAGGGAAGAAAAGGGUUUUUUUUAUGUGGAAUAUUUUUCUCUACUGUAAGCCAAUAUAUAUUUAUUCUGUCCAAUUACUAGAGGUCUCUCUUUCACUGUGACGCGUUUCUUCAUCGUUACUUGGGAAAAUCCAGAUGAAAACUUUGAUCUUGUUACAUGUAAGUCACGUCACCCCAAGCGGAGACGUUUGAUUUUGUUACAUGUAAGUCACACCACUCCUGGGUGAGGCAUGUUUUCUUGUGACAUGUAAGUCACACCACUCUUAGGUAAGAUAUCUUCUUCUUUCUUCAGAAGGGGGGGGGCAUCGGUAGCACUUGGUAAUAAGCUGGUUUUGAUUAUUUUAAAAUUUUAAUAAGUUGUACAGGAAAGCUGUUUUUAGUGCUAAUGCUUGGUGAUGUAACUGUUGCUUGUGGUACAAUAAAUGUUGUGUUUGUUAA
This is a long non-coding RNA of Limulus polyphemus (Atlantic horseshoe crab), 2924 nucleotides long. RefSeq lists it as uncharacterized. The transcript has 2 exons. The record is from RefSeq and is a predicted model, not a curated record. Lineage: Eukaryota; Metazoa; Arthropoda; Merostomata; Xiphosura; Limulidae.